AGGAAAUGGACCAAGGGGAACAGAGAGAAACCAGUCCCUGUGUUCACAAAUUCCAGAAGAUUCUAGAAGAGAUAACAAAGCUUCUGGGAUCACGAGGGCACAAGAUGGAGCAAGAACAGCCCAAAUGGGCCACUCCCAGUGGGGAACUUGCCUUGUCUCCCCACAACUGUCAUUGUCACCCCUCCCAUCAUGACCAAGCAGUAUCUGCUCCCUGGAGAGAAAAGGGCUACCAAGUAGAAGACAUUUCAAAGUGUCCUGAAAUCCAAGCAAAAAAGAGUAAGAGAACACAUCUCUUUAAGAGGAGAGAACUGACCACAGCCCUGUCACUGACUGACUCUGGGACAUCCUAGAAAUCCAUAACUGUACCCCAGAGCACAGCGUUAUUUUGGGAACCAGCACUACACUUCUUUCAAGUUUCACGGACUAGGACUGCUCCUUCGGCUCCUCGAUGGACCUCACCCUCACUCAGCAAUCUGGGGACCAGCCCCCCACCCUGCCUCAGAACACUAGGCCACAAUGGAUGGCCUUUGUGACUGCCAUAAGGUUUAUCUCACUAAACAGACUGAGGAAAGAGUUGGUCACCAAGCCCUCUCACAGGGAGUUUUCAUACAGUCUAAUAGAGAACUACAGGCUGCGGGACAGGGAAAGGAGGCGGGGAAAAGGAUAAAUCAUCUUCCCCACUUUGGAGCCCCAGCCAGAACACUCAGGACUACUCACUCCAUUCUCAGCCCAGACAAUCCAGCUGGUGCAUUGCUUUGGUUGCCUUAAUGAAGACUUCCUCUCUCUAAAGAAAAAAAUGGAAGAAAAGUACCAAAGAGUUCUUGGACACUUUAGACUCUUACAAAACAACUGUUUUAUAGUUAAGUGUAAAUUAAAUUCUGGAACAUAUGGGUUGAAUUUUUCCUUAAAAUACACAACGAUUUUAUAAUUAAGUGGAAAAUUCUCUGGCAAAAUGCAUUUUGAAUUUGACUUUUUGCCAUGGUCCAAAUAUUUGGAACCAAAAGCUCAAAACCUAGUUUAAAAUAUUCAAGAAACUCAAAUCAGGACUUGAUUCUGGCUUGUUGGUGUUAAUAAUUCUGCUGCCACUCUUUAGAUCAUGGUGCUGAAGCAGCAUUCAAGAGUCUUGCUGUAAUUCAUGUAUAAUUUAAUUAUUCCUACAUCCAUUUAACAAACCCCACCAGUCAGCUACCAUAGAUCAACACUCUGCUCAGCCUCUUUAUCUCCAGAUUUAUGAAGUGACAUUGCAUCCUAGCUGAACUUUGGUACUGGAAUUAGCUCUCAAAAGGAUGAGUCUAAAGGAUCCACUUUAAACACUGGACUAAAUUCCGUAGAUGUAAGAGUUGUGUUAUUCUGAGAAAUCGAUGCUAUAUAUUGUAAAAAUCUAGCACCUUCGUAAAGAAAUUAUUAGAUUAGAGGCAGAGAAAUAACUACCAUUCAUUUUCUUGCUUCUUGACUAUAACUGCCCAUGUGAAGUCUGACACAUGAAGAGGUUACGUCCCGUGACCGACAGAAAGAAGAGCCACGCGGAGCCCUUUGAGGGGAAUGGCUGGAAGGAACGUAGUACGCGGACACUCUCCAGGAUUGGCGUCUUCAGAACCAGCCUUGGUGCCGUGGCCAGAGUCACACCUUAUUCUGGGCUCCCCUGGCCAGUGACUGCACAAGGCUGAGAUCCAAGGCUCCAAACCAACGAGACUAGGGAUAAGAUGGGACCACCCACGGGUCACUCGUGCUCCAGACCUCUCUGUUGGAUGGGCCAAGAUUUUGUCAGGGCUACCACAGUGGACAACUCCUCUACCCACUCCUGCUUUUUCCCUUCACUUUACUUCUCCAGGUUGCUACCUGAGGCUCCAACUUGCAGCACAUCCUGACAACAAUGCCAUUGGCAGUGAAGACCAAAAUUCUGCUAAGGCUGUUUUAAUUAAGGACAAUGUUAUUCGCUCUACCACAAGAACCACAUCUCUGUGUUGGAAAGUGAACAAUAGACAUCUAAGCAUCUUCUAUGAGUUUCUUCUUUCCUUUUCAUUUCUCUGCCAUGGAAAUUUCAGGAAAAGCAUUCCAAAAAUUCAACCCUAAAAUAAAAUGACAAUGACCACACCGCAUCUUAAUAGAGCAUAAGAAUCAAAUAAACCUUUCUACUGUUUGUCCAGCUAGCAAGAUUUACAGGACAGACAUGGAAAGAGAAGGGAUUAGGUGAAGAGGGACAGAAAAGGAGAGAGAAAGAAAAGGAGAGCAUGAAAACAGGAGAGCCCACAGUGGCCGGAGAUACAAAUAACUUGCAGCUUUCCGCCG
Molecule: long non-coding RNA, 2289 nt
Filed under: Fukomys damarensis (Damara mole-rat)
Lineage: Eukaryota; Metazoa; Chordata; Mammalia; Rodentia; Bathyergidae
Description: lncRNA (ENSFDAG00000030406.1)
Source: RNAcentral